RNAcentral lists this non-coding RNA (20 nucleotides) under Arabidopsis thaliana (thale cress). Lineage: Eukaryota; Viridiplantae; Streptophyta; Magnoliopsida; Brassicales; Brassicaceae. The record is from RNAcentral.
UCUAAGCGCAGAAUCUCCUC